RNAcentral lists this ribosomal RNA (495 nucleotides) under uncultured bacterium. Its description in RNAcentral is "bacterial SSU rRNA". It matches the Rfam family "Bacterial small subunit ribosomal RNA", at positions 8 to 526 of the family's 1533-position model. The record is from RNAcentral.
AGAGUUUGAUCAUGGCUCAGGACGAACGCUGGCGGCGUGCCUAAUACAUGCAAGUCGAACGGACAUCGCAAGAUGUUAAUGGCGACCGGGUGCGUAACACGUAGCUGACCUGCCCCUCAGCGGGGGACAACAGUGCGAAAGCGCUGCUAAUACCGCAUACGCUCGGAGUGCUUAGAAGGCUCCGAGGAAACUUACGGGGUUGAGGGAGGGAGCUGCGGCCCAUCAGGUAGUUGGGGAGGUAGUGGCUUCCCAAGCCGACGACGGGUAGCCGGCCUGAGAGGGCGACCGGCCACACUGGGACUGAGACACGGCCCAGACUCCUACGGGAGGCAGCAGUGGGGAAUAUUGCACAAUGGGCGCAAGCCUGAUGCAGCGACGCCGCGUGAGGGAUGACGGCCUUCGGGUUGUAAACCUCUUUCAGCAGGGAAGAAGCGUGAGUGACGGUACCUGCAGAAGAAGCACCGGCUAACUACGUGCCAGCCGCCGCGGUAAUAC